GACAGAGGGUGCAAACGUUGUUCGGAAUUACUGGGCGUAAAGCGCGUGUAGGCGGCAGGGCAUGUCGGAUGUGAAAUCCCGUGGCUCAACCACGGAAGUGCACCCGAAACUGCCCAGCUGGAGUCUCGGAGAGGAAGGCGGAAUGCUUGGUGUAGAGGUGAAAUUCGUAGAUAUCAAGCGGAACACCGGUGGCGAAGGCGAGUCCCUGGACAACUCCUGACACUGA
This 226-nucleotide ribosomal RNA is filed under the name uncultured prokaryote. RNAcentral's name for it is "partial 16S ribosomal RNA". It matches the Rfam family "Bacterial small subunit ribosomal RNA", at positions 524 to 749 of the family's 1533-position model. The record is from RNAcentral.